GGGCUAAACCAUGCACCGAAGCUGCGGCAGCGACACUAUGUGUUGUUGGGUAGGGGAGCGUUCUGUAAGCCUGCGAAGGUGUGCUGUGAGGCAUGCUGGAGGUAUCAGAUGUGCGAAUGCUGACAUAAGUAACGAUAAAGCGGGUGAAAAGCCCGCUCGCCGGAAGACCAAGGGUUCCUGUCCAACGUUAAUCGGGGCAGGGUGAGUCGACCCCUAAGGCGAGGCCGAAAGGCGUAGUCGAUGGGAAACAGGUUAAUAUUCCUGUACUUGGUGUUACUGCGAAGGGGGGACGGAGAAGGCUAUGUUAGCCGGGCGACGGUUGUCCCGGUUUAAGCAUGUAGGCUGAUUGUCCAGGCA
This 357-nucleotide ribosomal RNA is filed under the name Klebsiella pneumoniae. Its description in RNAcentral is "bacterial LSU rRNA". It matches the Rfam family "Bacterial large subunit ribosomal RNA", at positions 1178 to 1538 of the family's 2925-position model. The record is from RNAcentral. Lineage: Bacteria; Pseudomonadati; Pseudomonadota; Gammaproteobacteria; Enterobacterales; Enterobacteriaceae.